GGACCCAGCGGGCAGCGUGGACCCAUCCCUCCCUCAGGGGCUCCCUGUCAGGUUGUGGGCACAACUGUGUGAACAGACACACAAUAAGACAGCCUGCCGGUGGUUGCGGGACACGCAGGAUACGGCCAGGUGUCUGGAGGGCGGGAGCGUUCCAGCAGGGUCCGCAGAGCAGCCGCUUGGCGCUGCUUGUGUGGGAGGCAGAGGCCUUUGCUGCCGUCUUGAUCUUGCCUCUGUCUCUGGCUAGGUGAGUUCUAAUCCCCGGCACCAAGGACCCCCGCCUCUCUGCAGACCAGGACCCGGAGUCGGCACGGGAGGCGUGGGACCUGCGUGCGGGCUGCGGCCUCGCUCCCUGCCAGGGGAGGGCCCUGCCUCUCCCUCCCUCUGCAGCUGACCUGUGCUCGCCGUGGCUCCUCACACCUGCUCUCCCCUCGCUCAUCUCCAGGUAUGGAUAGAUGCCGGGACCCAGAUUUUCUUUUCUUACGCCAUUGGCCUGGGGGCCCUCACGGCCCUGGGCAGCUACAAUCGCUUCAACAACAACUGCUACAAGGAUGCCAUCAUCCUCGCACUCAUCAACAGCGGGACCAGCUUCUUUGCUGGCUUCGUGGUCUUCUCCAUCCUGGGCUUCAUGGCCACAGAGCAGGGCGUGCACAUCUCCAAGGUGGCGGAAUCAGGGCCUGGCCUGGCUUUCAUCGCCUAUCCCCGGGCCGUCACGCUGAUGCCUGUGGCCCCGCUCUGGGCUGCUCUGUUCUUCUUCAUGCUGCUGCUGCUUGGCCUUGACAGCCAGUUUGUAGGUGUGGAAGUCUUCAUCACCGGCCUGCUGGACCUCCUCCCGGCCUCUUACUACUUCUGUUUCCAAAGAGAGAUCUCCGUGGCCCUCUGCUGCACCCUCUGCUUUGUCAUUGAUCUCUCCGUGGUGACCGACGUGAGUGGGGGCAGGGUGAGGGAUGCCCCUGGCCUCAGGCUGCCGGCUGCCACCUUCCCUGACCUGGCUCCAUCCCCAGGGCGGGAUGUAUGUCUUCCAGCUGUUUGACUACUACUCAGCCAGCGGCACCACCCUGCUCUGGCAGGCCUUCUGGGAGUGCGUGGUGAUCGCCUGGGUGUACGGAGCCGACCGCUUCAUGGACGACGUGGCCUGCGUGAUCGGGUACCGACCUUGCCCCUGGAUGAAAUGGUGCUGGUCUUUCUUCACCC
Molecule: RNA transcript, 1191 nt
Organism: Aethalodelphis obliquidens (Pacific white-sided dolphin)
Lineage: Eukaryota; Metazoa; Chordata; Mammalia; Artiodactyla; Delphinidae
Gene name: sodium- and chloride-dependent creatine transporter 1-like
Exons: 5
Source: RefSeq, a predicted model, not a curated record